Molecule: ribosomal RNA, 253 nt
Filed under: uncultured bacterium
Lineage: Bacteria
Description: partial 16S ribosomal RNA
Rfam family: Bacterial small subunit ribosomal RNA
Source: RNAcentral
UACGUAGGGGGCAAGCGUUGUCCGGAAUCAUUGGGCGUAAAGCGCGCGUAGGUGGCCCGGUAAGUCCGCUCUGAAAGUCAAAGGCUCAACCUUUGAAAGCGGGUGGAUACUGUCGGGCUAGAGUCCGGAAGAGGCGAGUGGAAUUCCUGGUGUAGCGGUGGAAUGCGCAGAUAUCAGGAGGAACACCAACGGCGAAGGCAGCUCGCUGGGACGGUACUGACACUAAGGCGCGAAAGCGUGGGGAGCAAACAGG